GACGAACGCUGGCGGCGUGCUUAACGCAUGCAAGUCGAACGGAAAGGCCCUGCUUUUGUGGGGUGCUCGAGUGGCGAACGGGUGAGUAACACGUGAGUAACCUGCCCUUGACUUUGGGAUAACUUCAGGAAACUGGGGCUAAUACCGGAUAGGAGCUCCUGCUGCAUGGUGGGGGUUGGAAAGUUUCGGCGGUUGGGGAUGGACUCGCGGCUUAUCAGCUUGUUGGUGGGGUAGUGGCUUACCAAGGCUUUGACGGGUAGCCGGCCUGAGAGGGUGACCGGCAACAUUGGGACUGAGAUACGGCCCAGACUCCUACGGGAGGCAGCAGUGGGGAAUAUUGCACAAUGGGCGGAAGCCUGAUGCAGCAACGCCGCGUGCGGGAUGACGGCCUUCGGGUUGUAAACCGCUUUCGCCUGUGACGAAGCGUGAGUGACGGUAAUGGGUAAAGAAGCACCGGCUAACUACGUG
This 468-nucleotide ribosomal RNA is filed under the name uncultured bacterium. Its description in RNAcentral is "partial 16S ribosomal RNA". It matches the Rfam family "Bacterial small subunit ribosomal RNA", at positions 28 to 507 of the family's 1533-position model. The record is from RNAcentral.